CGCGGUCGCUUGCGUGUCAUGUUGACAAACGCUAAAAACGGAGCUGGCAACAUGUCCGCCACUGCUGCUGCUCAGCAAAACAAUAACGAGGAGCCUAGCCUCAACGGGUCGUGGGUGGAGCUGGAGAUGAAUGGAAACAACAGGAACCAGGCCCUGCUGCCAAACUCCACCACACCCUCUCCUGCCCCGGGGAAUGGGAAUGAGGGGCAGAGUCAGGCCCUGGAGGUGGUGUCAGAGGAGGUGGAGGAGAGUCUGACAGCGGCGCUGGAGCAUGUGCCCUCAUCCUCCUCUAUCCACAAUGGAGACAUGGAGAAAAUCCUGCUGGACGCUCAGCACGAGUCCAGCCAGAGCAGCUCCUCCUGCGACAGUCCUCACAGACCUCCCAGUCCAGAUCAGGAUGAUGGCCAAAUCACCUUUGAUGUGGAGAUGUCCAGUCGGAGAGGGAGCCAGUUAGAGGAGGAAGGUCCAGAGAAAAACAGAGAAGAGGAUAUCCUGAUGAACAAGGUUGCAGAUUGGUCCAGUCGGCCUGAAAACGUUCCACCCAAGGAGUUCCACUUCCGUCACCCCAGACGCUCAGUAUCCCUAAGCAUGAGAAAUAGUGGAGCCAUGAAGAAAGGGGGUAUCUUCUCUGCUGACUUCCUCAAAGUCUUCAUCCCUUCCUUACUUCUAUCUCACAUUCUUGCCCUCGGCAUUGGGUGAGUGACUGUUCCAUCUUACACAACUAGCAAAUCAAAUGGAUAUAUGUGAGUAUUUGUAGAUUGUCUGCUGUUGAAUCAUUUUCAUUAGUGCUGAGCGAUUAGUGCUUUUUUGUGAUCUGUUCGAUUAUACGUUUUUUGAUUUUGCUCUAACACACUAAAACAAUUAAAAGUCCCAUGAUGGUAGUGACUGCCCAUUAUUACUUAUUAACCAUAAUUUUCCACAUUACUUUAGUUGUGUAUUACAUUAGUUUAUUUGAUAACUUGAAAUUAUAUAAUAAAGUCAUCUUAUUUCUCUAGAGCUGCUGCAUAUGCUGUCUGACAAAAUCACUCUUUUGUAUUUCUUAAAUAAGGCGUACUUUUAUGACUGCUGAAUACCAAACUAGAUCAUGUCUUUUCAGGUAGACAUACCUUUGCAAAGCAACAGCUGCUCUCUCUAUCCUCUCACGAUUGUGCAUUCUUCUGCCUCUUCCGUAGCAGGUAUAAGAGACUGGACAAGGGUCUACAUUGGGAAGAGACUCCCCACGCCUUCCACCAGCUCUUUCUAAACCCAAAGUGAAGCAGUGCCUGGAAGUCGCAUAAAAAUUAUCCUGUUGACUAGUUGUUACAAUGUCUUCAUGUGCUUAAAUGCCCUCUUUUCCUCUGCAUCCAUUGUAUGCCUAGCUAUCUCCUUUCAACAGUUUUUUUCCCCCUUUUAGUUAUUUGUACCUCUUUAUCUGACAAUGACUUUCCCAAGUUUUUGAUGUAGCGUGCUUUUGGAGGGUUCAUAAUUCAUAAAUGACUGGGAACCUUUUACCUUUUGACACAGAUUGGCUUUGAACAGUAAUGACCACUAGCAGCACAUAAUAGUUAACAGCACAUGCCUGAAUCUGAGUGUUGUACUUCUGGACAAAAUUAUUCUUCAAAAGCUGUUGAUACUGUUCUGCACAAACACUGUGACUGGUAUUGGAUGGCACAGGGCCUGAGGGUUUUGGAAUCUCUCUUAGAUUUCUAUACAGAUUCCUUGGCUUAGACCGAGAGAUUGUGCUUUGAGAAAUCAAUAAUUCCUUUACUGCUCCCUACUCCAAGUCAGUUCAUUUCAUGGUGACUUUUACCUGAACCAAAAUAAGCUACAUAUCUGCAAUACGUCUUUCAAUUGGCAUUGAGAAUUGCAGUGACUGUGAAUCAAGUGGUAUUCUUGUUCAGAUUUGUUAUUUUAUUACAUAGUUUGGAAUAAUAUUCAGCCCAGACUUAUCAAUUCAGGAGAAGUUUGCUUCUAUUCCAGCCUACUCUAGUUAUACCUCAUUUUUGUCAUUUAGUAGCCCCAAAUAAUUUUCUCUAAAGGUGGCCUCCUGGUGAAAGGGUGUGAAUAGCUACUGCAGGUUUCCAUUGAUUAACAGGAAAACAUCCCAAUAGAUUGAUGCAGAAAGAAUAGUACAUCUAAAUGCUCUGCAGUACAGGGUAAAGCACGGGGUAAGGGAACGUUUGAAUGAAGAAUUUUUUAUAAACAGUAGUUGAUACAAAUAUACACAACCUGCCUGCUGUUCAACAACUCAAAUGUGUCAAUGCCACACAUUCUUCCUUUCGUUUGUCAUAUCUUAUUUAUUUUCUCCAAGCUGAUUCUAUAAACCUUUCGAAUGUAAGUUUUCCUGUGUGGUAACACGCCCUCAGUGUAUAGGUCCAGCCACCAUACAGAGUAGGAUGUAUUGGUUGAAGGAUGUUAUAACUGGCCACAAAUAAUUCAGUUUUGUUUGCUUUUGGUACACAAAAUGACUACUGCAUAGUGCCAAAUAUAUAGAUUUAUUUUAAUCUCAGCGCUUUCAUUACAAAGGUAACACACACAGUGAUUUCUCAACUAUUGGACAAGUUUAACUAGAAGGUUAGACUAACACAAACAGUGACAUGCACUCAUAUCUCCAGUCCUGAUAAGUCACCUACCUGGUUUUGACAUGUCCUCUGGUGAUCCAUUUUGAGAUUUUUCAUGAUUCUUAUGGUGAACAUUUUGUGUAUGCAUGAAAUAUGUUUCCAUUCCCAAUAGGCAUACAUUUCCAUAAAGCAGACCAUAUGUAAGUAAUGAUUUUUGGAUAAAUGUUUAACAAUGACCUAUUUGGUACUGAAAUAAUUUUAUGAAAUCUGAUAAAGGACCCUUUUUCUUUUUUUUGCAAUAAUAAAACGUUUUUUUUUUUUCAUACACUAAGAAAUUAUUCUCACAUAGCGUGCGAUAGGAACUCCUGGGAAAGUUAACUAUACAGAACCAGCACUCUACCACUGCUUGGUUAUUUCGGGUUUAGUUUUUUUAUCUUUGGGGGGAAGGGUGAGUGGACAAUGGGGAUAGAUGUGAUGACAGUAGUAGGGUUCUUUUUUUUGAGUGGGAUUGUUUUUUGUGCCUCUGUUCUUGGUUUGUGCCAACUCAAAGUAACUCCCAUUGCAUGCAUGCCUUUAGCUUGUAAUUGGCAUUAAUUAACUUAUUAUCAUUCAUGAGAUGCCAAAGGCUGUCAUAGCUUUCAUUUAAUAUUGGCAAGUCCAUCCUGUAUCUAACGCAGAAGAACUAUGUGCAUUAUUAUUGUUUUCAUAUUUUUUCUUUAAUAAUCCAAAAUACAAACUGAAAGAUGCUUGGCCUUUUCCUUGAACAUGUUUUGUUUGUGAUAUUGAUUCUAGUAGCAAGAACUUUCAGCCUUGUUUGAUAGUUUUUCCAAUUUUAUGAAAAUCUGACAUUAAAAUGAGAAAUUAACCGCAA
Molecule: RNA transcript, 3411 nt
Organism: Salvelinus fontinalis (brook trout)
Lineage: Eukaryota; Metazoa; Chordata; Actinopteri; Salmoniformes; Salmonidae
Gene name: BCL2/adenovirus E1B 19 kDa protein-interacting protein 3-like
Exons: 6
Source: RefSeq, a predicted model, not a curated record